Molecule: transfer RNA, 63 nt
Filed under: Trichonephila inaurata madagascariensis
Lineage: Eukaryota; Metazoa; Arthropoda; Arachnida; Araneae; Nephilidae
Description: tRNA-Cys
Rfam family: tRNA
About the family: Transfer RNA (tRNA) molecules are approximately 80 nucleotides in length. Their secondary structure includes four short double-helical elements and three loops (D, anti-codon, and T loops). Further hydrogen bonds mediate the characteristic L-shaped molecular structure. tRNAs have two regions of fundamental functional importance: the anti-codon, which is responsible for specific mRNA codon recognition, and the 3' end, to which the tRNAs corresponding amino acid is attached (by aminoacyl-tRNA synthetases). tRNAs cope with the degeneracy of the genetic code in two manners: having more than one tRNA (with a specific anti-codon) for a particular amino acid; and 'wobble' base-pairing, i.e. permitting non-standard base-pairing at the 3rd anti-codon position.
Source: RNAcentral
UAUAGCUCAUUUGUAGAGCAUUCGACUGCAGAUCGAGUGGUCCCCGGUUCAAACCCGGGAGAA